UUGUUUGCUACUCGGAUGUAUUAUUCCUUGACUGGGAUGCUUCAUUGCACUUUGAUUGGCUGAGCAGGAUCAUGCGACUUGCUUUCUUUGUUCCUGUGCAGUUUGCCUUAUGCACUGAGUAAUCUGACAAAGCUGAAAAUCGUGGGCCUGGAGGGAAAUCCUUUGAGGUCCAUCUGCAGAGAUCUCCUAACAUGAGAAACAAGAGGCAUCCAUUCCGGAUGAUGUAUUCAAUGCAGUUUGCAACAACCCUAUUACCAGUGUGAACUUCAGCAAGAACCAGCUUACAGGGAUCCCGGCCAGAAACAACCUUUUAUCCUCACUACCUGCAGAACUGGAAGCCCUAAUGAAACUGAGGAGUGUAAUUCUUUCUUUUAACAGUUUAGGUUUCAAACAUUUCCUGCCGUGCUGUAUCGGAUUACCACACUGGAAACCAAGUAGCAACCAUGUCGAAACUAUUGAUCCACUCCGGCUGAAACAGCUGUCGAAACUGGCAACAUUGGACCUGCAGAACAAUGACAUUAUGCAAGUCCCUCCAGAGCUUGGCAACUGCAAGUCUUAGAGCACUAAUGCUGGAUGGAAAUCUAUUUCGCAAUCCAAGGGCAGCCAUUGUGGCAAGAGGAACUGAUGCACUAUUAGAAUACCUUAGAAGCCAUAUACUAUGCUAAGUGAUGGACAGAUGUGUCUCCGCUACACUACAAACACAUGCCACACGCACAUCCCUCCUAAUGAUUCCAUGGCCUUGAAUAUUCAUGAAUAUUCACGUUCCUUUUUUUUUUACUUCUAGUGUAUACAGCAUGUAGUCCUAUCCUGUGUAUAAGAUUUGAGACAACCAAAUUCAAUUAAAACCUGCAUAUCAGGGCUGAAGAUUUAAGGUAUACUUGACAAAAUGAAUUUAAUAUUUUUAUUUACUACAAAAUGCAAGAAUUUCUGAUCUAAUUAUUUUUUGAGUACAUAUUUUCUUAUUUUUAUUGAAAGUUGUAUGUUUACAAUUACACAAACAGAAAAGAUGUAUUAACAGUUUUUCUUUAAUUUGUUUACAGUACACUGCUACUUUUUUGUAAGAUUAUGUUUAAUAUUUUGUUAUUUGAAUUACAGUUUACACUUUUAUACCUGGACUCAGAAAUGUCCAAAGUACAUUUUAACUCUUUCAGCAUUGAAGAUCUACAAAUGUGUCUUAGAAAACUAACUCCACCCAAAAUUAAUUGCCAGCACAGUCUAGGAAAAAAAUCAUUCAAUGCAACAGACUACUUAACCAGUCUCGUUCUUGGGUAUGCCCUUAUCAUUUUUGUAUGCUGUUUUUCUCAUGGAAGACACUACAGAUGUGUGAAUGUGGCACAUUAAUGAGUAAAAGGUGGUGCCCCGUUCUCCAUAAUCUUUCAUGAUUUAAUACAUUUGCUACUUGUAUUACACUUUGUAGCAAAUCAUGUUGUACAUUUAAAUAAACGUUUUGUCACAGUACACUGAAGGCGGCACUAGCGGAAACGUUUCACUUUAGAAUUCUGAUUGAGCGUUUGGGAUGAUUACUUAUUAAUAAGUAUCCUAACGAUGCAAAUCACAGUACACUCAAUACAUUCACAGCACAAUUUGGUCUAUAGGUAGUAUGAGGAAUGGUUACCAUUUAAGAUUUGGACAUAAUUAAGUUUCUCCAAAGGGGGUGUCAUCGUUCUGUGGUGUUCCAAGGUACCCUGAAUGAUGCUUGUAAUGUAUCUUCUGUGAUGGCAGGGUAAGUUUAAAUUAAGUUUGACCUAUAACAUCUUUUGCUAUCAUGUGGAGACACUAGUUGCAGUUCGGGAAGAUAAAAAAACCCCAACACACCUCACCUAAUUGAUCAGUCCAAUGGUGUCCUUUUUGCAUUCAGUUUGGCAUCCCUCCACCUCGCUGAGCUACCCCUUAGCUCCUAAACCUUUGGGGUACUGUUUGCCUUGCCCACAUGCUCAGGCAAUCAUCCCUCUGCCAAGCCGAUUCAAGGCAAAAAUUCUGUGUAUUACCAUAUGCACAAUCUUAGCAAUAGAAAUCAAAUCCGUUCAUUUUAUGGUGUAGGGUGUUUUUCUGAUCUUCUGCAUCAAUAUACAAGGAACCCCAAAUAAUUCUCCAAAACAGAUAUACUAAGAAUGUUUUUGCAGUCACUUUGGGUAGUUUAUACACAUUUGAGAGCAUUGCAACAUAGCCUUGUGUGCUUUAAAAAGAUAACACCAGGUCAAAAUGGGGUUUUGUGUUUAAGAUCAAUGCUAAGGGUAUAGCUAUGUGUCAGACCAAGCAGUUCUCAAUAUCCCAGGCUUCAAUUAUGAACGUAUAUAGAAGACAUGUUUUGUGAUGGUUGGCUUUGGUCUUGACUAAAUAUUCAGCUAUGAGACAAACACUCCCAAAGCAUUUUAACAAUAAAGUGACAUUUUAUUGUUUGUACAAUAAAGAGACUUUCAUACAUUAUUCAAAACACUUCUUAAAUACUGAAAAAAUUGUACUUCCAAGGCCAAAAAUGGCCCUGUUAUACACUGCACAGCAUUUUGUUCUAGUUUUUUGUUGUUUUGAUUGUUUAGUAAAAUUCAUUUUAAAUAUAUACAGAUAGCAUCUGCGAAAUGCAUUCUAGACACAGAAUAUACACUUUAACAAUUACAUAUAUUAGUGUCAAUACAUAAAUAAAACUGGAAGGAUUAAACUUGCAUGUGCAAAUCAAGAAACAGGAUUAUAAAUUCUUACUAAAUUUAUCAAACUAAACUGAAUAUCUUCAUUAAUUACUUUUUGCACAAAAAAUGAAGCAGCAUUCAAGUCCAGUAAGUCUUCAUACUGCAGAAGCUUGGAAUACAUGAACAAUUUAUUUGAAUACAUUAUUUAAAUGUGUCUUCAUUCACAAUUAUUUACAUCAAUACUACAAUUAGACUGGAAAGUACCAUAUAUUAGCUGUAUUAUAUUUAGCACAUACAAAAAAUUACCAAUGUUUUAUUUUUUACAGAUAUAUAUUUUUAUAUAUAUAUAUAGUUUUUUAUAACACAAAUUCACAAUUACUGUAGAAAUUCGUUUUACAAGUCAGUUGUCCAACUCAUUAUCCUGAAUGCUUAUCUCUUCCUUAUACUCUUGGAUUCACUAUAAAACAGCACAAUUUGAGCAAAGCUAAGUAUACCAAUGUAUUAGAAAGAUAAUUACCUGAAAACUGUUGGUAGAAAAAAUUAUAUUAUCAAAGUUUUCUAUAGUAUUUGUUAUUUGUUGUAGUAGUAUUUUACAAUGUGCAGCUUCCUAUUUUUUAUGUUCUUAUCCAAACUUCUGUUUGGCAAAAUUGCAACACAGCACCUGUACUUGUAGCUAGCAAAGCUAGGAACACAUUUAUUAGGUCAUUUUUAUAGGGCUAGAAAUUGUAACUGCUUAGAUUUGCUCAAAAAUGUCUUGAAAGCUACAUUUAUUUUAUUAAAAAAAAAAAAAAAAAAAAAAAAAAGUAGAACAUUCUAUAUAAAGUGUCUUGUUUUUUUUUUUUUUUUUUUGGUCAAUACAUAUUUGACAGCAAUUCAUAUGGCACUGACUUACAAUAUUGACUUUGAUUUGCAUAUUGAAAACAGCUUUAUUACUGAAAUGUGAAAAAAAAAGUUAACUUAAGCAUUUACAAAUGUCAAGAGAGGGCAAAGUAAAAUUUGUUUUUAAGAAUACUUUUGUUUAAGCGAUGGUAUGCUUUUAAAAUAACCUCCUAAAAAGGGAUUUCUUCAAAAAUGUGAUGUUUAAAAUGCCCAUUCCCUGAUGUUUCAAAACUUGAAUUAUGAUGUCCUCAUUUGAAGUUUAAAUAACAUACUGUAAUAAUGGGAUGAGCAGUCACUUUGUUUCACUUAUUAUGCAAGUCUGGCCUUUUAAAUUUAGUCAUUUACAUUCUAUUAAUUUAGCUUCUUCUCACUCAUGUCAUGGCUAUAUCUCAAUGCCACACUCUAGAUGUGUUGCUAAAGUAAAUGCUAUUAAAAAGCAGUGAAAACUAUUUAUAUGGCCUUUAAAACAGUUCCCUCACAUAUUUAUGUACUGUUAGUCUUAUUCGGUGAUGUUUUGUCAUUGAUCCCAAAAAUAACUUACAGCGUUGUGUGUGCACUAAGGUUACAGAAGAACCCGGUUUUCUUUUUUUUCCCCCAAAAAAACACAAAGGUUUUAUGUCUUUCCAAAUACAUUGCUAAAAGAAAUUGAUACUUGGCUGAACUCGGCCUAGGUAAGACUCACCGGGCUACCUACCUUAACUUUUUCUGAAGUGCUUUAAAUUGGCUGCUGCU
Long non-coding RNA from Acipenser ruthenus (sterlet), 4235 nucleotides. RefSeq lists it as uncharacterized. Lineage: Eukaryota; Metazoa; Chordata; Actinopteri; Acipenseriformes; Acipenseridae. The record is from RefSeq and is a predicted model, not a curated record. The transcript is spliced from 5 exons.